ACGGCUCAGUAACACGUGGAUAACCUGCCCUUGGGUCCGGCAUAACCCCGGGAAACUGGGGAUAAUUCCGGAUAACGCACAUAUGCUGGAAUGCUUUAUGCGUAAAAUGGAUUCGUCUGCCCAAGGAUGGGUCUGCGGCCUAUCAGGUAGUAGUGGGUGUAAUGUACCUACUAGCCUACAACGGGUACGGGUUGUGAGAGCAAGAGCCCGGAGAUGGAUUCUGAGACAUGAAUCCAGGCCCUACGGGGCGCAGCAGGCGCGAAAACUUUACAAUGCGGGAAACCGUGAUAAGGGGACACCGAGUGCCAGCAUCAUAUGCUGGCUGUCCAGGUGUGUAAAAUACACCUGUUAGCAAGGGCCGGGCAAGACCGGUGCCAGCCGCCGCGGUAACACCGGCGGCCCGAGUGGUGAUCGUGAUUAUUGGGUCUAAAGGGUCCGUAGCCGGUUUGGUCAGUCCUCCGGGAAAUCUGACGGCUUAACCGUUAGGCUUUCGGGGGAUACUGCCAGGCUUGGAACCGGGAGAGGUAAGAGGUACUACAGGGGUAGGAGUGAAAUCUUGUAAUCCCUGUGGGACCACCUGUGGCGAAGGCGACUUACCAGAACGGGUUCGACGGUGAGGGACGAAAGCUGGGGGCACGAACCGGAUUAGAUACCCGGGUAGUCCCAGCCGUAAACGAUGCUCGCUAGGUGUCAGGCAUGGCGCGACCGUGUCUGGUGCCGCAGGGAAGCCGUGAAGCGAGCCACCUGGGAAGUACGGCCGCAAGGCUGAAACUUAAAGGAAUUGGCGGGGGAGCAC
RNAcentral lists this ribosomal RNA (796 nucleotides) under uncultured archaeon. RNAcentral describes it as "bacterial SSU rRNA". It matches the Rfam family "Archaeal small subunit ribosomal RNA", at positions 85 to 879 of the family's 1478-position model. The record is from RNAcentral.